This is a long non-coding RNA of Drosophila albomicans, 785 nucleotides long. RefSeq lists it as uncharacterized. The transcript has 3 exons. The record is from RefSeq and is a predicted model, not a curated record. NCBI's taxonomy places the organism in Eukaryota, Metazoa, Arthropoda, Insecta, Diptera, Drosophilidae.
AGUCAUAAGUGAGCUGCCAACUUGGCUGAUUGCCAGUCGCUGUGAGACAGGCAAACAAAUGCGCCUCACUUCGCCUUGCUAGCUGCAAUCGUUCCAUGCAUUUUUAAUAGACGCUCUGCCAUGAAAGAAAAACAGCAAGAAGGCGAAAAAAAAGAACGAAAAUGAAAUAGACGAAAAGAAAAGCGAGCGAAAAAAAUGAGAAUGAAGCGAAGAAAAAAGCAUAUUUGCCAGCACGGCGUAUACGUAAUUUUCGCAUAUUGCGUAUACGUUGCAGCGCGUGGCAAGAAAUGCAACGAAUUUCACACUCACACAGACACACUCGAGGCUUAUGUAAGCGGACGCCAAUGCACUCAGCAGCAACAGCAGCUAAGUGCGCUGCCCGUGGCAAAAAUUGCAGCCAGCUCAUGACUUUGCAACUACACACAACUCGUUGCAGACUGAUGGGGCAUGUGGCAUGUGGCAUGCGGCACGGUUGUUGCGAUUUCCGGGGCCAAGCUUAAUGCUCUUGUGGCUUUAAACAUCGAUGCAUCAAUGCUGCAUCAUAUUUGAAAUGUCACUAAUGCCCAGCAUCGAUUCUAGUUUUUCUCCCAAUUUGAUGAAGUGACAAACAACAAAAUGAAGAACGAGCAUUGCAAUAAAGCUGACAAAAGCAAAUAGUAACAGGCCACCCACUUCUCUAGCAACUUUCUCUUUACCUUUUACGCUUUUACUGCCCUUUUUUUUGCCACUGCCAAUUGUCGCUCAACCCACGGCGACAACGCGGCGGCUGCUGUUAAUAUGACAAA